CAGCAUGAUGGGGACAUUUUCUGAUAAGGUCCUUUAAUCUUUCCCAUGACUCGUGGAACUACUCACCAUCUUGCUGCAAGAAGAUAGUGAGAGCUCUCCUUAUUUG
RNAcentral lists this small nucleolar RNA (106 nucleotides) under Cephalotus follicularis. RNAcentral's name for it is "Plant small nucleolar RNA R71". It matches the Rfam family "Plant small nucleolar RNA R71". Rfam says of the family: R71 is a member of the C/D box family of snoRNAs containing the C (UGAUGA) and D (CUGA) box motifs. Multiple nearly identical copies of this snoRNA have been identified in Arabidopsis, and it is thought to function as a 2'-O-ribose methylation guide for 18S ribosomal RNA. Lineage: Eukaryota; Viridiplantae; Streptophyta; Magnoliopsida; Oxalidales; Cephalotaceae. The record is from Rfam by way of RNAcentral.